Long non-coding RNA from Epinephelus fuscoguttatus (brown-marbled grouper), 367 nucleotides. RefSeq lists it as uncharacterized. The transcript has 3 exons. NCBI's taxonomy places the organism in Eukaryota, Metazoa, Chordata, Actinopteri, Perciformes, Serranidae. The record is from RefSeq and is a predicted model, not a curated record.
CGAUGUUACGAGGACUGAGAAGCCACGGGACCAGAACCUUCAGGUUGUUUAUGAACUCACCGUCGAUCUCUAGACGGGGGAGGAGAGGCAACGCCUGGAAGACCUCGCUCCAGAUCUGGAUCCCGGUGGUCUCCCUCUCUGAGCCCCCCCUCCAGGAGAAACCAGUCAGAGGCUCCUCUGGAUCUCCGAGCCAGCCUUCAGAUGCCUGAGCACAGCGGGAUCACAAGCGGGCCCCAUUGUUUUACAACCUGCCCGUGACCGCCAUCGCCCGCGCAGUCACUUACAUGGUUGUACAUGUAUCGCAGCAUGAAGUCCAUGAGGAAGGACUUGCCCUUGCGGAAAGCUCCAGCCACAGAGAUGGCCACCA